GCAUUUUCCCCUGCUUGCCUGUACUCCAUCCUGCCACCCUGUGAAGAAGGUUCCUGCUUCUCCUUUACCUUCUGCCAUGACUGUACCAUAGUAGGGACUGGAAAUUCAACGUGAAAAAAAGAAGUUAAAUCUCUGCUGCCUUAAAAUAAUCAGAACGUAAGGAGAAAAUGUUUUCAGCUGGAACUUAAAUAGACCGGCCACAAAUAACCCGUAAUUCUCUAUAAAUGGACUGUCAUGCUGAGAACAGCUUUAUGCCACGCUGAUCCCAGCUCCACAAGAGCCGGCUAAGCUACACUUACCCAGUAG
Pan troglodytes (chimpanzee) is the source of this 306-nucleotide long non-coding RNA. RefSeq lists it as uncharacterized. The transcript has 3 exons. The record is from RefSeq and is a predicted model, not a curated record. Lineage: Eukaryota; Metazoa; Chordata; Mammalia; Primates; Hominidae.